UACGGAGGAUGCAAGCGUUAUCCGGAUUUAUUGGGUUUAGAGGGUGCGCAGGUUGUUUGAUAAGUCAGUGGAGAAAGUCUGUCGCUUAACGGUAGGAUUGCCAUUGAUACUGUUGGACUUGAAUAUGGAUGAGGUAGGCGGAAUGUGUAGUGUAGCGGUGAAAUGCAUAGAUAUUACACAGAACACCGAUUGCGAAGGCAGCUUACUAAUCCAUCAUUGACGCUGAGGCACGAAAGCGUGGGGAUCAAA
RNAcentral lists this ribosomal RNA (249 nucleotides) under uncultured prokaryote. Its description in RNAcentral is "partial 16S ribosomal RNA". It matches the Rfam family "Bacterial small subunit ribosomal RNA", at positions 524 to 772 of the family's 1533-position model. The record is from RNAcentral.